This 72-nucleotide transfer RNA is filed under the name Parafilimonas terrae. It matches the Rfam family "tRNA". From Rfam's summary of the family: Transfer RNA (tRNA) molecules are approximately 80 nucleotides in length. Their secondary structure includes four short double-helical elements and three loops (D, anti-codon, and T loops). Lineage: Bacteria; Pseudomonadati; Bacteroidota; Chitinophagia; Chitinophagales; Chitinophagaceae. The record is from Rfam by way of RNAcentral.
GAUUAGUUCAGUUGGAUAGAGCAUCCCGAUUUCUAAUCGGGAAGGUCAUUGGUUCGAAUCCUGUCCGGAUCA